RNAcentral lists this ribosomal RNA (239 nucleotides) under uncultured bacterium. Its description in RNAcentral is "partial 16S ribosomal RNA". It matches the Rfam family "Bacterial small subunit ribosomal RNA", at positions 122 to 354 of the family's 1533-position model. The record is from RNAcentral.
UAACCUGCCCAAGAGACUGGGAUAACACCUGGAAACAGAUGCUAAUACCGGAUAACAACACUAGACGCAUGUCUAGAGUUUAAAAGAUGGUUCUGCUAUCACUCUUGGAUGGACCUGCGGUGCAUUAGCUAGUUGGUAAGGUAACGGCUUACCAAGGCAAUGAUGCAUAGCCGAGUUGAGAGACUGAUCGGCCCACAUUGGGACUGAGACACGGCCCAAACUCCUACGGAAGGCAGCAG